This 451-nucleotide long non-coding RNA is filed under the name Homo sapiens (human). RNAcentral describes it as "long intergenic non-protein coding RNA 2449". Lineage: Eukaryota; Metazoa; Chordata; Mammalia; Primates; Hominidae. The record is from RNAcentral.
AUCUCAGGCCACACAGGAUUCCAUUCAUCGAACAUUCCUGAGACAACGGAAUUCUGGCGAUGGAGCACAGGAUGCUUCACAGUCUACGGCAAAGGACAGAACGUUGGUUGCUCGAGAGCCCGUCUUAAGUCUCCUAUGAGCUUCAAGCCAACACAACAGAGGGCAAACUCCAGGCUACCUGAUCCCUCAGCAAAGAUGCAGAUGGACACAGCGUUCUGGCCCCACGCAUCUGAAGUUCGUCUUAAGAUGUGUGAAAGCCUCAGCGCAUGAGCCAAUUCUGUGCAGUGCUCGACAUACAGAUGAGAACACUGAGGCACGAGGCACAGCCUGUGAUCUGGCCACCGCGCUCAGGAGGAGGUGGUUACCCGCGGGCCUGAGGGCGCUGACUUUUUAGAAUGGGCGAGUGCAGCUGUGUCCCAGUGUCCCAGUGACCAGAACGAUUACUGCCUUU